UUUUGUUGGGGGAGUAAAGCGGGGCACGCGUGCCUUUUUGCAUUUACCCUUCGAAUAAGGACCGGCUAAUUCCGUGCCAGCAGCCGCGGUAAUACGGAAGGUCCAGGCGUUAUCCGGAUUUAUUGGGUUUAAAGGGAGUGUAGGGCGGUCUGUUAAGCGUGUUGUGAAAUUUAGGUGCUCAACAUCUACCUUGCAGCGCGAACUGGCGGACUUGAGUGCACGCAACGUAUGCGGAAUUCAUGGUGUAGCGGUGAAAUGCUUAGAUAUCAUGACGAACUCCGAUUGCGAAGGCAGCGUACGGGAGUGUUUACUGACGCUUAAGCUCGAAGGUGCGGGUAUCGAACAGGAUUAGAUACCCUGGUAGUCCGCACGGUAAACGAUGGAUGCCCGCCUGUUAGCGCCUGGCGUUAGCGGCUAAGCGAAAGCAUUAAGCAUCCCACCUGGGGAGUACGCCGGCAACGGUGAAACUCAAAGGGAAUUGACGGGGGCCCGCACAAGCGGAGGAACAUGUGGUUUAAUUCGAUGAUACGCGAUGCACAUUGCCCCU
RNAcentral lists this ribosomal RNA (547 nucleotides) under Prevotella intermedia. Its description in RNAcentral is "bacterial SSU rRNA". It matches the Rfam family "Bacterial small subunit ribosomal RNA", at positions 433 to 978 of the family's 1533-position model. Lineage: Bacteria; Pseudomonadati; Bacteroidota; Bacteroidia; Bacteroidales; Prevotellaceae. The record is from RNAcentral.